This 1180-nucleotide ribosomal RNA is filed under the name 'Empoasca motti' witches'-broom phytoplasma. RNAcentral describes it as "bacterial SSU rRNA". It matches the Rfam family "Bacterial small subunit ribosomal RNA", at positions 182 to 1361 of the family's 1533-position model. The record is from RNAcentral. Lineage: Bacteria; Bacillati; Mycoplasmatota; Mollicutes; Acholeplasmatales; Acholeplasmataceae.
CAAAAGGUUCUUCUUGUUUUUAAAGACCUAGCAAUAGGUAUGCUUAGGGAGGAGCUUGCGUCACAUUAGUUAGUUGGUGGGGUAAAGGCCUACCAAGACUAUGAUGUGUAGCCGGGCUGAGAGGUUGAACGGCCACAUUGGGACUGAGACACGGCCCAAACUCCUACGGGAGGCAGCAGUAGGGAAUUUUCGCCAAUGGAGGAAACUCUGACCGAGCAACGCCGCGUGAACGAUGAAGUAUUUCGGUACGUAAAGUUCUUUUAUUAGGGAAGAAUAAAUGAUGGAAAAAUCAUUCUGACGGUACCUAAUGAAUGAGCCCCGGCUAACUAUGUGCCAGCAGCCGCGGUAAUACAUAGGGGGCAAGCGUUAUCCGGAAUUAUUGGGCGUAAAGGGUGCGUAGGCGGUUAAAUAAGUUUAUGGUCUAAGUGCAAUGCUCAACAUUGUGAUGCUAUAAAAACUGUUUAGCUAGAGUAAGAUAGAGGCAAGUGGAAUUCCAUGUGUAGUGGUAAAAUGCGUAAAUAUAUGGAGGAACACCAGUAGCGAAGGCGGCUUGCUGGGUCUUUACUGACGCUGAGGCACGAAAGCGUGGGGAGCAAACAGGAUUAGAUACCCUGGUAGUCCACGCCGUAAACGAUGAGUACUAAACGUUGGGUAAAACCAGUGUUGAAGUUAACACAUUAAGUACUCCGCCUGAGUAGUACGUACGCAAGUAUGAAACUUAAAGGAAUUGACGGGACUCCGCACAAGCGGUGGAUCAUGUUGUUUAAUUUGAAGGUACCCGAAAAACCUCACCAGGUCUUGACAUGCUUCUGCAAAGCUGUAGAAACACAGUGGAGGUUAUCAGUUGCACAGGUGGUGCAUGGUUGUCGUCAGCUCGUGUCGUGAGAUGUUGGGUUAAGUCCCGCAACGAGCGCAACCCUUAUUGUUAGUUACCAGCACGUAAUGGUGGGGACUUUAGCAAGACUGCCAGUGAUAAAUUGGAGGAAGGUGGGGACGACGUCAAAUCAUCAUGCCCCUUAUGACCUGGGCUACAAACGUGAUACAAUGGCUGUUACAAAGGGUAGCUGAAGCGCAAGUUUUUGGCGAAUCUCAAAAAAACAGUCUCAGUUGGGAUGGAAGUCUGCAACUCGACUUCAUGAAGUUGGAAUCGCUAGUAAUCGCGAAUCAAGGCCAUGGUUCG